AGGAGCUUAGUUUAACGGUAAAAUAAGGGUCUCCAAAACCCUAGUCGAAGGUCCGACUCCUUCAGCUCCUGCCA
RNAcentral lists this transfer RNA (74 nucleotides) under Candidatus Nealsonbacteria bacterium CG10_big_fil_rev_8_21_14_0_10_40_24. Its description in RNAcentral is "tRNA-Trp". It matches the Rfam family "tRNA". From Rfam's summary of the family: Transfer RNA (tRNA) molecules are approximately 80 nucleotides in length. Their secondary structure includes four short double-helical elements and three loops (D, anti-codon, and T loops). Lineage: Bacteria; Candidatus Nealsoniibacteriota. The record is from RNAcentral.